RNAcentral lists this ribosomal RNA (192 nucleotides) under bacterium. Its description in RNAcentral is "partial 16S ribosomal RNA". It matches the Rfam family "Bacterial small subunit ribosomal RNA", at positions 74 to 258 of the family's 1533-position model. The record is from RNAcentral.
AGGAGCUUGCUCCUUUGACGUUAGCGGCGGACGGGUGAGUAACACGUAGGUAACCUACCUAUAAGACUGGGAUAACUUCGGGAAACCGGAGCUAAUACCGGAUAAUAUUUCGAACCGCAUGGUUCGAUAGUGAAAGAUGGCUUUGCUAUCACUUAUAGAUGGACCUGCGCCGUAUUAGCUAGUUGGUAAGGU